AUUGAACGCUGGCGGCAGGCCUAACACAUGCAAGUCGAGCGGAAACGAGUUAUCAGAACCUUCGGGGGACGAUAACGGCGUCGAGCGGCGGACGGGUGAGUAAUGCCUAGGAAAUUGCCCUGAUGUGGGGGAUAACCAUUGGAAACGAUGGCUAAUACCGCAUGAUGCCUACGGGCCAAAGAGGGGGACCUUCGGGCCUCUCGCGUCAGGAUAUGCCUAGGUGGGAUUAGCUAGUUGGUGAGGUAAGGGCUCACCAAGGCGACGAUCCCUAGCUGGUCUGAGAGGAUGAUCAGCCACACUGGAACUGAGACACGGUCCAGACUCCUACGGGAGGCAGCAGUGGGGAAUAUUGCACAAUGGGCGCAAGCCUGAUGCAGCCAUGCCGCGUGUGUGAAGAAGGCCUUCGGGUUGUAAAGCACUUUCAGUCGUGAGGAAGGUGGUAGUGUUAAUAGCACUAUCAUUUGACGUUAGCGACAGAAGAAGCACCGGCUAACUCCGUGCCAGCAGCCGCGGUAAUACGGAGGGUGCGAGCGUUAAUCGGAAUUACUGGGCGUAAAGCGCAUGCAGGUGGUUUGUUAAGUCAGAUGUGAAAGCCCGGGGCUCAACCUCGGAAUUGCAUUUGAAACUGGCAGACUAGAGUACUGUAGAGGGGGGUAGAAUUUCAGGUGUAGCGGUGAAAUGCGUAGAGAUCUGAAGGAAUACCGGUGGCGAAAGCGGCCCCCUGGACAGAUACUGACACUCAGAUGCGAAAGCGUGGGGAGCAAACAG
Molecule: ribosomal RNA, 768 nt
Filed under: uncultured bacterium
Lineage: Bacteria
Description: bacterial SSU rRNA
Rfam family: Bacterial small subunit ribosomal RNA
Source: RNAcentral